Molecule: long non-coding RNA, 785 nt
Filed under: Homo sapiens (human)
Lineage: Eukaryota; Metazoa; Chordata; Mammalia; Primates; Hominidae
Description: HSALNT0292928
Source: RNAcentral
AGACUGUUUCUGUAGAUCGCCAAGUGGAGGUCACACUCCUGGAGCUGAGUCCCAAACAGAAGACACUGAGGUGUUUGCAUUCUGUAGGCAGAAACUGAGGACCAGACACAAGACGCUGCUGGCCUUAACCCAUGAUGCUGUCUCCUAGAAGUAGCUUGGACAAGACAAGGACUAGGAACAAAGCCAGCUCUAGGAGUGACCUAGAGCUCUGGAGAAGAAGAGGAGCUUUAAGAAGAGGAGCCAAACCAUCAGAGAGUGCUGUUAGGUCUCUUUCUUGUGUCCAUCCGAUCUGUUCACAUAGACUUCUCCCAUCGCAUGAAGCUAUCACCUUUGAGAUAUGGCCUCCAAGAUUGCCACGGAAAAGGAAGAGAAUGUGAAGAAGUCACCUCAGAUACUUUACCACUUCAGCCAGGAAGAGACAGAAUUGUGCUAUAUACUGUUGGCCAGCAAGAGUUUGGCUUAUGGACCAUGUGGCCUCACCUACAUGGGAGACACUGGAAACAAAGUCCCUGGCUGUGAAGCCACUCCCCAGCAACAGCUCUGCACUACACAGAAGAGAAGCUUGGCUCUUUGGAAGUCAACUAGCUGUUGUUUUUAAACCCCGUUAUCCCUUCUCUGCAACCCUGAGCUCUACUCCCACAUAAUUAACUGGUUCUGCCAUUUGCUACUUAUGUUACUAUGAAUAAACUUAUACUUCUCUCAGCCUCAGUAUUCAUAUCCACAAAAUGGAUCUUAUCUCACAGGUUAGCUAUGAAGACUAAAUAAAUCAUGCAUUCAGAAACUUA